Molecule: ribosomal RNA, 465 nt
Filed under: Iranolacerta brandtii
Lineage: Eukaryota; Metazoa; Chordata; Lepidosauria; Squamata; Lacertidae
Description: partial 12S ribosomal RNA
Source: RNAcentral
GCUAAGCCCUAAACAUUGAUAGCUAACAUACAUACAAACUUUCCGCCAGAGAACUACAAGUGAAAAACUUGAAACUCAAAGGACUUGACGGUGUUCCAUAUCGACCUAGAGGAGCCUGUCCUAUAAUCGAUACUCCCCGCUCCACCCAACCCUAACUGGCAUCUCAUCAGCCUAUAUACCGCCGUCGAUCAGCCUACCCUAUGAAGGCUCAACAGUAGACACAAUAGUCUUAUCACUAAUACGUCAGGUCAAGGUGUAGCAAAUGUUAAGGAAGAGAUUGGCUACAUUUUUUAUUUUAAAAAAUACGAAAAAUACUAUGAAACAAUAUAUGAAGGUGAAUUUAGUAGUAAAAUAAACAAGAGUGUUUAUUUUAACAACGCUCUGGAACGCGUACACACCGCCCGUCACCCUCCUCGAUCAAUAUACAUAACUUUUAUAAAUAUAAAUUUUUAACUCAGAGGAGGU